GGGGUUGUGGCUCAGUGGUAGAUCACUUGCCUAGCAUGUGUGAGGCACUGAGUUCAAUCCUCAGUACCACA
RNAcentral lists this transfer RNA (71 nucleotides) under Marmota monax (woodchuck). RNAcentral's name for it is "tRNA.Ala". Lineage: Eukaryota; Metazoa; Chordata; Mammalia; Rodentia; Sciuridae. The record is from RNAcentral.